UGCUUAACACAUGCAAGUCGAACGGCAGCAUGGUCUAGCUUGCUAGACUGAUGGCGAGUGGCGAACGGGUGAGUAACGCGUAGGAAUAUACCUUAAAGAGGGGGAUAACUUGGGGAAACUCAGGCUAAUACCGCGUAAUCUCUGAGGAGAGAAGCUGGGGACCUUCGGGCCUGGCGCUUUAAGAAUAGCCUGCGUCCGAUUAGCUAGUUGGUGGGGUAAGGGCUUACCAAGGCGACGAUCGGUAGCUGGUCUGAGAGGAUGGCCAGCCACACUGGGACUGAGACACGGCCCAGACUCCUACGGGAGGCAGCAGUGGGGAAUAUUGGACAAUGGGGGGAACCCUGAUCCAGCAAUGCCGCGUGUGUGAAGAAGGCCUGAGGGUUGUAAAGCACUUUCAGUGGGGAGGAGAUUUUGGUUGGUUAAGAGCUGACUAGGAGGACGUUACCCACAGAAGAAGCACCGGCUAACUCCGUGCCAGCAGCCGCGGUAAUACGGAGGGUGCGAGCGUUAAUCGGAAUUACUGGG
Molecule: ribosomal RNA, 525 nt
Filed under: Legionella lansingensis
Lineage: Bacteria; Pseudomonadati; Pseudomonadota; Gammaproteobacteria; Legionellales; Legionellaceae
Description: bacterial SSU rRNA
Rfam family: Bacterial small subunit ribosomal RNA
Source: RNAcentral